Molecule: ribosomal RNA, 405 nt
Filed under: Triticum aestivum (bread wheat)
Lineage: Eukaryota; Viridiplantae; Streptophyta; Magnoliopsida; Poales; Poaceae
Description: partial small subunit ribosomal RNA
Source: RNAcentral
AUGAGCGGAGGUGCGUCGGCGGCUGCCAACGCCGUCCUGGAAGAAUUCUUCGAUCAACUAGAUCUGAACGACGAGGAGUUCCAUGAUGUUGAGAUUGAUGAAGAGGAUCCCGAAAUCAAAGAGUGCGUACGGUGGCUAGCCCUUUCUAGGGUUCACACCGACAAGAAUUUCUCACCGGCAGCCUUCUAUAAGGAUAUGAGGGCAGCCUGGAACCCAGCACAACGGGUAAGAUUUCGCCCGGUCGGACCUAACAGAUUCGUUGUCCAAGCCUCUUGCCUGGGCGACUGGGAGAGGAUGAUGAUGCAGGGCCCUUGGCUCUUCCGCAACAUGGCGGUUCUGAUGUGCCCAUAUGAUGGCUUCACAAAGGCGGACGAUGUGGUGUGUGAUCAUAUGCCCAUCUGGCUA